Molecule: ribosomal RNA, 367 nt
Filed under: uncultured bacterium
Lineage: Bacteria
Description: partial 16S ribosomal RNA
Rfam family: Bacterial small subunit ribosomal RNA
Source: RNAcentral
CCUACGGGUGGCAGCAGUAGGGAAUAUUGCUCAAUGGGGGAAACCCUGAAGCAGCAACGCCGCGUGGAGGAUGAAGGUUUUAGGAUUGUUAACUCCUUUUGUUAGAGAAGUUUAUGAUGGUAUCUAACGAAUAAGCACCGGCUAACUCCGUGCCAGCAGCCGCGGUAAUACGGAGGGUGCAAGCGUUAUUCGGAAUCACUGGGCGUAAAGCGUGCGUAGGCGGAGUAAUAAGUCAGAUGUGAAAUGCUGGAGGUUAACUGGAGCACUGCAGUUGAAACUGUUACUCUGGAGUGUAGGAGAGGUAGGUGGAAUUCUUGGUGUAGGGGUGAAAUCCGUAGAGAUCAAGAGGAAUACUCAUUGCGAAGGC